UCCCUAGUAGCUCAGACAGUAAAGCAUCUGCCUGCAAUGCAGGAGACUCAGGUUUGAUCCAUGGGUCGGGAA
This 72-nucleotide transfer RNA is filed under the name Bos taurus (domestic cattle). It matches the Rfam family "tRNA". Rfam says of the family: Transfer RNA (tRNA) molecules are approximately 80 nucleotides in length. Their secondary structure includes four short double-helical elements and three loops (D, anti-codon, and T loops). RNAcentral also lists the same sequence under 5 other names. Lineage: Eukaryota; Metazoa; Chordata; Mammalia; Artiodactyla; Bovidae. The record is from Rfam by way of RNAcentral.